This 3780-nucleotide long non-coding RNA is filed under the name Nicotiana tabacum (common tobacco). RNAcentral describes it as "long non-coding RNA (NTAB_LNC018274)". Lineage: Eukaryota; Viridiplantae; Streptophyta; Magnoliopsida; Solanales; Solanaceae. The record is from RNAcentral.
UUAAUACAUCUGUCUUCUUUCUUCUACGAUUCCCAAAUCCCAGAUAUAUAGCCGUGGUUUGCCGUUUUGGUGUAUCUAUUUUAUGAAGUAUAAAGCGGCUAAUGUUGGCUAAAAAUUUAAUUGAGGCAGUUUUGACUGAUUGAGACAAAAUAUUCUCUUUAUUAGCUUAACUCUAUAAUUAAUGAAGAAGAAUAGAGAGUAUUUUGGUUGACUGUUGACCUACACAAGGCAUAAGAAGAAGAAAAAUGCACAAACGAAAAAGACUAAAAAUGAAGUGAUCAGUAUAAAAAGAUGGUAUGAGUUUUAGGGUUUAGAUCGACAUGGAAUUGCCGAAAACUGACUUUUUUCUCUGAAUCAUUUUGCUAAGCUUAAAGAUAAUAUUGUUAGGGAUAUAUUAAAUAUACCCUAGACCCAAUCUCAUAUUUGAUGAUUUGAAUAUAUUUUUGUGAAUGCUAUUUGAUAUAAAAAUAUAUGGCAUUUGAUAUUCAUUUAUCAUAAUUAUUAUUAAUUACUUGAUUAAUUUAAUAAGGUCCUUGAUUAAAUUUUGAGAUUUGUCAUCAUGAUGGAACCAUGAUAAUGAGAGUAAAGUCUCUUACAAUUUAACCUAAAUUUUGUUCUUGAUCGUAGGAUUAUUAAUUUGGACAUUAGUAAUCCGGUUAGAUCAAUAUUUAUGUGAUCGUCUUUAUGAGAUAAUGAUUAGUUGAUCUCAUUAAUUAAAUAACAUAAAUAGAUGAUGCAUAUAGAGAUAUGAUCAUUGAACCGAUUCAUUGGAUAAUUCCUAAUGGUUAGAAUUACCAUAAACUGUCAAUAAGAUAUUCUCUUGAAGAAUGUGAUGUAAAAGUUUCCUUUGACCUGAUAUCAUCAUAGUAAUUGACAAGUUAUUUAUUGUGCUUUGAUACUAGACACCUAUGGCCCUAGGGCGAUAGUUGAAAAGAUAUUGAUCAUACUAGUGAUUGAUCAAGAUGGAAUCUGUCAACUCUUGAUAAUGAGUUUAAGCUCCAUGUUGUCAUAAAUUAUAACCGACCAAAUUAAGACCUUGGCCAGGGUGAUUGAAUAAAAGAAGAAAAUAGUUUCUUAGGUCAUUCAAUGGUCGAUUAUUUUUGACAGGAACACAUAGUCGGCCGCCUAUUAGGAUUGACAGUUGAACCAUAUCCUAGGGUGACCCAGAGCUAUAAGGACAGAAGGAAUUAAUACAUUAUUCUUAUACAAGUUCUUGAGAGUAAAUUGUAUACUUCAUGCUAUCCGGUCGUUAAGGAGUGUUGCUAGACGCCAUUCUUGAUUAGUAUAUUGAUGUGAUCAAUUUACUACCGGCUUAGUAUUGAACCUAUGAGGUCGCACACUAACGAGUGUUCUGAUCUUUGCUAAAGGAUUAAUUACUUUAUUAUUUGAUAAUUAAAUUAAAAAAUUUAAUUAGUUAAAUAAAUUUAGUUAUUAGUCCAAAUGAAAUAUUAUUAUAUUUUUUGUUAGCACAGAUGAUAUAAUUAAUAUUGUGGACAAGUUGAAGUUUUCUAUUUUAAAUAAGAAAAUCAAAUUACAUCUCUUGGUUUUUACAUGACUUUACAAUACGUAUAAGAUCUAUAUCUUCAUCAUUCUUGAUUAGGACUCACACACACACACAUACAUAUAUAUAUAUAUAUAUAUAUNNNNNNNNNNNNNNNNNNNNNNNNNAUUGGACUAAAGCAAGCUUCUAGAAGUUGGAAUAUUCGCUUUAACAAGACAAUUAGAUUCGAAGAAGAACCUUGUGUGUACAAAAAGGUUAGUGAGAGCAUAAUUUUAUUCUUAGUACUGUAUGUUGAUGAUAUAUUGCUCAUAGGAAAUAACAUACCAACAUUACAAAGUACCAAGAUUUGGCUAUCUGAACAGUUCUCCAUGAAAGACUCGGGAGAAGCAACUUAUAUAUUAGGAAUAGAGGUCUAUAGAGAUAGAUCGAGGAAGCUACUUGGACUUUCCCAGUCUUUGUACAUUGAUACCAUUUUGAAAAGGUAUAACAUGGAUAAUUCCAAAAGAGGCUAUCUACCGAUAGGCACUGGAAUUACUCUCAGUAGGGAGGAUUGUCCUAAAACACCUGAAGAGAGAGAAAGCAUGAGUAGGAUACCAUACGCUAGUGCAGUGGGAGCUAUCAUGUAUACCAUGAUAUGUACACGUCUUGAUGUGGCUUAUGCACUUGGAGUGACUAGCCGAUAUCUGGCAAUUCCUGAUGAGGAACAUUUGAAGGUGGUGAAGACCAUUCUUAAGUACUUAAGAAGGACUAAAGACCAAUUCCUCAUUUAUGGAGAUUCUGAGUUGAAACUUGAAUGUUAUACUAAUGCAAGUUUCUCUUCAGAUAGAGAUGAUAGCAAAUCUAUUUCUGGUUAUGUAUUCACUUUAAAUGGUGGUGCAGUGAGUUGGAAAAGUUUUAAACAAGCUACAGUAGUUGAUUCAGUAACUGAAACAGAAUAUAUAGCAGCUAGUGAAGCUGCUAAGGAAGUUGUAUGGAUGAAAAAGUUCUUAACUGAACUUGGUGUGGUUCCUUCAAUAGAAGGUGCAGUUCCAUUAUUGUGUAACAAUACUGAGCCAUUCCUCAAGCAAAAAAACCAAGAUCACACCAAAAAUCCAAACACGUUCUGCGAAGGUAUCACUUGAUAAGAGAGAUCAUUGAACGUGGAGACGUCGAGAUUCAAAGAUGUAAAGGAAAAUGUUGCAGACCCAUUCACCAAAGCUCUUGGAGCAAAAGAGUUUGACAAGCACAAGUGAAAAUUGGGAAUGAAAUACAAGAGCGAUUGGCUCUAGUGCAAGUGAGAGAUUAUUAGGGAUAUAUUAAAUAUGCCCUAGAUCCAAUCUCAUAUUUGAUGAUUUGAAUAUAUUUUUGUGAAUGCUAUUUGAUAGAAAAAUAUAUGGCAUUUGAUAUUCAUUUAUCAUAAUUAUUAUUAAUUACUUGAUUAAUUUAAUAAGGUCCUUGAUUAAAUUUUGUGAUUUGUCAUCAUGAUGGAAUCAUGAUAAUGAGAGUAAAGUCUCUUACAAUUUAACCUAAAUUUUGUUCUUGAUCGUAGGAUUAUUAAUUUGGACAUUAGUAAUCCGGUUAGAUCAAUAUUUAUGUGAUCGUCUUUAUGAGAUAAUGAUUAGUUGAUCUCAUUAAUUAAAUAACAUAAAUAGAUGAUGUAUAUAGAGAUAUGAUCAUUGAACCGAUUCAUUGGAUAAUUCCUAAUGGUUAGAAUUACCAUAAACUGUCAAUAGGAUAUUCUCUUGAAGAAUGUGAUGUAAGAGUUUCCUUUGACCUGAUAUCAUCAUAGUAAUUGACAAGUUAUUUAUUGUGCUUUGAUACUAGACACCUAUGGCCCUAGGGCGAUAGUUGAAAGGAUAUUGGGUACGAUUAAAUACUUGUAGAAUUAGUGAUUGAUCAAGAUGGAAUCUGUCAACUCUUGGUAAUGAGUUUUAAGCUCCAUGUUGUCAUAAAUUAUAACCGACCAAAUUAAGACCUUGGCCAGGGUGAUUGAAUGAAAGAAAAAAAGAGUUUCUUAGGUCAUUCAAUGGUCGAUUAUUUUUGACAUGAACACAUAGUCGGCCGCCUAUUAGGAUUGACAGUUGAACCAUAUUCUAGGGUGACCCAGAGCUAUAAGGACAGAAGGAAUUAAUACAUUAUUCUUCUACAAGUUCUUGAGAGUAAAUUGUAUACUUCAUGCUAUCCGGUCGUUAAGGAGUGUUACUAGACGCCGCCCUUGAUUAGUAUAUUGAUGUGAUCAAUUUACUACCGGCUUAGUAUUGAACCUAUGAGGUCGCACACUAACGAGUGUUCUGAUCNNN